RNAcentral lists this ribosomal RNA (253 nucleotides) under uncultured bacterium. RNAcentral describes it as "partial 16S ribosomal RNA". It matches the Rfam family "Bacterial small subunit ribosomal RNA", at positions 524 to 776 of the family's 1533-position model. The record is from RNAcentral.
UACGUAGGGUGCAAGCGUUGUCCGGAAUUACUGGGCGUAAAGCGUGCGCAGGCGGUUGUGCAAGACAGAUGUGAAAUCCCCGGGCUUAACCUGGGAACUGCAUUUGUGACUGCACGGCUAGAGUGUGUCAGAGGGAGGUAGAAUUCCACGUGUAGCAGUGAAAUGCGUAGAUAUGUGGAGGAAUACCGAUGGCGAAGGCAGCCUCCUGGGAUAACACUGACGCUCAUGCACGAAAGCGUGGGGAGCAAACAGG